RNAcentral lists this long non-coding RNA (2062 nucleotides) under Felis catus (domestic cat). Its description in RNAcentral is "lncRNA (ENSFCAG00000050576.1)". Lineage: Eukaryota; Metazoa; Chordata; Mammalia; Carnivora; Felidae. The record is from RNAcentral.
AUGCCUCUGUCCAAAACUUCUGGGAAAGAAGUAGCCACGUGCAAACCAGGGCUGGGCACCCACCACAUGCAAGGUGCCCUUGACCUGGCGGAUGGAGAGACACAUGCGUCUGGCCUCAUGGGUCAUCCACUCAUCAGCGCUUCCUGGGCCAAGGAUGCUGGUCAUGCCCAGGCUCUAGGAAUCCCACCUUGGAAGCAGCAGAGACCCCGGGAGAAGCUUGUCAUGGUGGGAGGGGCUGAGCUGCCGUGGGAACGCAUGGAGGGUUCCAGGGUGUGGAGAGGGAGGCUCUGAGGAGCUGGGCUGUGUGCUGGGGGUGGGGGGAGGGUGUCUGAUACACCUGCCCAGCAGGUGUCAAAUCCUCUUGACCAUCCAGAUCCGGCCAGGACUUCCCCAUCUGUAGUAUUUUCCUCAUUCCUAUUUAUCCUUAAGCUAAUUGUCUCUGUAAUUUGGGGCAGGUCUCUUAAUUUCUAUUGCUUUUCCAUUUAUUAAAUGGGAUAUUAUGAAUAUCAGAUCAGCUAAUGAACAGACAGGGCACGCAUCCAAGAUUACACAACGACUGAUGGGAGAGCAAAAAGAAGUAUCUAGCUUUGGCAGCGACGUCGGGGUGCUUUUCAAACAACACUGGAGAGGAAGAAACUUUUAACCAUCUGGAAGCCAGCCACGGAGACAAAGCCCCGUGCAGACUUCAUGGGAGCCAUCUGUAAAUGGGUGACAUCAGGGCCACACCCCUGGAAAUAUAAACUCAUGGAGGGUCAAGAAAGUGAGUUCUCCUCAUUCCCUGACUUCUGAGUGGUCAAAGAAGGUUUCGUGCUCAAUUUAUAAACGAUGCCCCUGCCUCAAGAAGGCAUCCGUAGCUGACAAAUACUUCCCUUCUUUACCCGAUGGCGACACAGAUCAACGAAGCACUGAAGGCAUUUGAUCAUUUGGAAAAAGCACAAGAUAGGUGCCGCAUCUCCAGUAGAAUUGUUAACAUAAAUUAUGCGUUUCUGCCAUUCAGGGCACAGCUCAAGGCAGGGUAACCUGUGCGGCUCCCUGGGUCCCUCCAGCAGCCCUGGGAGAUGGGAACUGGUAUGAAAUGGACACGGGUUUUGUCUAUUUCACAGACGAGAAAAACGCGGCUCAGGGAAGUUAAUAACUCGCCCCAUGUCACACAGGCCUGUGGCUGUACAGGUGAUACUGUGCACUUCUCUCUCCUCGAUGCUAGGUGAUGCUCAGCUUGACCCGCAUUUGGCCCCCCCGGGGUCUGCCAAGCUGCCAAGCUGGGAUCUUGCCUGGAAGAUAAAGUGCAAACUCUGUGUGGAAUGUUCUACCCAGCCGACCUCCCCACCCCUACUGACCCCUUCCCACUCUAUGCCCUUCUGCUGGUGCCAGGAAAAUGCACUGCAAACCCGAUCUGCUACAUUCUAGUUCUCUGACCUUGAACGAGUUACCGUCACCUCUGGGCCUCUGUGUCCUUAUCUGCAGGCUUAGGGGAAGAAACUCUUCCUUCACAAGGGUCUUAGGAGGGACGCUGCACAUUGUGUGGGAAACGCAUCAAUGCCAGGAACAUAGACGAGUUCAGUUAAUGCCCAUUUUCUUCCCUUCCGCCUUCUGAACUUCUGAACUUCAGCUGAGAUCAGUUUGCAACAUGAACCAGGCGCCGCCCAGCAGAUACCUCCUGUCCCUCCCUCACUUUGCAAGAGCCUGGGGAGGGAGCACGCUGUGUUAUAUUUAUCACAGUAUGUGUCUCUCCUCCCGCUGGGUUAUGCGAGGGGGGAGCUUUUGGGUCCACCUGUUCCUAAGUGCCCUGGGCGCCGCUCAGGGUCUCGGACAAGGGCAGGGGCUUCGCGGAUAAAUGCCUGUUGCAUAAACCAGGGAACAACGCAAUCCUGUCUUUUCGGGUGCAUAGCAGGAGCGCAGUACUGACUUGGCAACUUAGGAUUUGACUUGGUUAGACCUGUGUGUGCCUGUUUGGAUCUCCAAGGGAACACAGCGGAGAGGGAUUAUCUUCUAGCCUUUCUGCGCGCCGCUCAAUUCAGCCAGCAUUUUCCCCCGCAAUAAACACAGAAGUGGGGAAAAGGCA